UAGGGAAUUUUCCGCAAUGGGCGAAAGCCUGAUGCAGCAACGCCGCGUGAGUGAUGAAGGUCUUCGGAUCGUAAAACUCUGUUAUUAGGGAAGAACAAAUGUGUAAGUAACUAUGCACGUCUUGACGGUACCUAAUCAGAAAGCCACGGCUAACUACGUGCCAGCAGCCGCGGUAAUACGUAGGUGGCAAGCGUUAUCCGGAAUUAUUGGGCGUAAAGCGCGCGUAGGCGGUUUUUUAAGUCUGAUGUGAAAGCCCACGGCUCAACCGUGGAGGGUCAUUUGAAACUGGAAAACUAGAGUGCAGAAGAGGAAAGUGGAAUUCCAUGUGUAGCGGUGAAAUGCGCAGAGAUAUGGAGGAACACCAGUGGCGAAGGCGACUUUCUGGUCUGUAACUGACGCUGAUGUGCGAAAGCGUGGGGAUCAAACAGG
Molecule: ribosomal RNA, 429 nt
Filed under: Actinomycetes bacterium
Lineage: Bacteria; Bacillati; Actinomycetota; Actinomycetes
Description: Actinobacteria bacterium partial 16S ribosomal RNA
Rfam family: Bacterial small subunit ribosomal RNA
Source: RNAcentral